UGCUACUCCGGACUUCCUGGAUCGUGGUUCUCGCAGCUGAAACUCCUCCCGCACCUACCCAACCUGCCGCCCUUAAGUUGUCUCCCAGCCGGAGCAGUUCCCCGCGUAGACGGCUGGGCGUGUAGCCUCUUGACUCUGGUUUGAAGGAUUUGUUAACAAAAGAAACCACUGGUCACACAAUAAACAAUUUCAAUAUUUAAUCGAGGAUUAAUUGUCUUCAUUUCAAUUAUACAGUCA
Long non-coding RNA from Bubalus bubalis (water buffalo), 237 nucleotides. RefSeq lists it as uncharacterized. The transcript is spliced from 2 exons. Lineage: Eukaryota; Metazoa; Chordata; Mammalia; Artiodactyla; Bovidae. The record is from RefSeq and is a predicted model, not a curated record.